RNAcentral lists this ribosomal RNA (445 nucleotides) under uncultured Bacteroidales bacterium. RNAcentral's name for it is "bacterial SSU rRNA". It matches the Rfam family "Bacterial small subunit ribosomal RNA", at positions 354 to 796 of the family's 1533-position model. The record is from RNAcentral. Lineage: Bacteria; Pseudomonadati; Bacteroidota; Bacteroidia; Bacteroidales.
GUGAGGAAUAUUGGUCAAUGGGCGUAAGCCUGAACCAGCCAAGUCGCGUGAGGGAAGACGGUCCUACGGAUUGUAAACCUCUUUUGCCGGGGAGCAACGGGGUCCUUGCGAGGGCCUUAUGAGAGUACCCGGAGAAAAAGCAUCGGCUAACUCCGUGCCAGCAGCCGCGGUAAUACGGAGGAUGCGAGCGUUAUCCGGAUUUAUUGGGUUUAAAGGGUGCGUAGGCGGGCUGUUAAGUCAGCGGUCAAAUGUCGGGGCUCAACCCCGGCCUGCCGUUGAAACUGGCGGCCUCGAGUGGGCGAGAAGUAUGCGGAAUGCGUGGUGUAGCGGUGAAAUGCAUAGAUAUCACGCAGAACUCCGAUUGCGAAGGCAGCAUACCGGCGCCCGACUGACGCUGAGGCACGAAAGCGUGGGUAUCGAACAGGAUUAGAAACCCCAGUAGUCC